GACGAACGCUGGCGGCGUGCUUAACACAUGCAAGUCGAACGGAAAGGCCCUGCUUUUGUGGGGUGCUCGAGUGGCGAACGGGUGAGUAACACGUGAGUAACCUGCCCUUGACUUUGGGAUAACUUCAGGAAACUGGGGCUAAUACCGGAUAGGAGCUCCUGCUGCAUGGUGGGGGUUGGAAAGUUUCGGCGGUUGGGGAUGGACUCGCGGCUUAUCAGCUUGUUGGUGGGGUAGUGGCUUACCAAGGGUUUGACGGGUAGCCGGCCUGAGAGGGUGACCGGCGACAUUGGGACUGAGAUACGGACCAGACUCCUACGGGAGGCAGCAGUGGGGAAUAUUGCACAAUGGGCGGAAGCCUGAUGCAGCAACGCCGCGUGCGGGAUGACGGCCUUCGGGUUGUAAACCGCUUUGGACUGUGACGAAGCGUGAGUGACGGUAAUGGGUAAAGAAGCACCGGCUAACUACGUG
This 468-nucleotide ribosomal RNA is filed under the name uncultured bacterium. RNAcentral's name for it is "partial 16S ribosomal RNA". It matches the Rfam family "Bacterial small subunit ribosomal RNA", at positions 28 to 507 of the family's 1533-position model. The record is from RNAcentral.